RNAcentral lists this ribosomal RNA (522 nucleotides) under Glymmatophora crassipes. RNAcentral's name for it is "partial 16S ribosomal RNA". It matches the Rfam family "Bacterial large subunit ribosomal RNA", at positions 1812 to 2606 of the family's 2925-position model. Lineage: Eukaryota; Metazoa; Arthropoda; Insecta; Hemiptera; Reduviidae. The record is from RNAcentral.
AACAUGUCCUUUAGUUUUAAAUUUAAGGUUUGACCUGCCCAAUGAUGAAUAAUUUAAUGGCCGCAGUAUUUUAACUGUGCUAAGGUAGCAUAAUCAGUUGUCUUUUAAUUGAGGGCUGGAAUGAAGGGUCGGACGAGGAAUAGUCUUUCUUUUUAGUAAUUAAUAAAUUUGACUUUUUAGUUAAAAGGCUAAAAUUUUUUUGUGGGACGAGAAGACCCUAUAGAUCUUUAUAUUUAUAUAUAAUUUAAGUUUUUAGUACAUGAAUAAUUGAAUUUAUUAGGUAUUUUGUUGGGGUGAUACGAGAAUUUUUUUAACUUCUUGUUAUUUUAAUUCAUUUAUUUAUGUUUUUAUGAUCCAUUUUUAUGAUUAUAAGAUUAAGUUACCUUAGGGAUAACAGCGUAAUUUUUUCGGAGAGUUCAUAUCGAUGAAGAAGUUUGCGACCUCGAUGUUGGAUUAAAAAAAGUUUUGGGUGUAGUAGUUCAAUUACUAGGUCUGUUCGACCUUUAAUUUUUUACAUGAUCU